UGCAUAGGAAUCUACCUAGUAGUAUAGGAUAGCCACUAGAAAUGGUGGGUAAUACUGUAUAAUCCCUGCGGGGGAAAGAUUUAUCGCUACUAGAUGAGCCUAUGUCAGAUUAGCUAGUUGGUGGGGUAAUGGCCCACCAAGGCUGUGAUCUGUAGCUGGUCUGAGAGGAUGAUCAGCCACACUGGAACUGAGACACGGUCCAGACUCCUACGGGAGGCAGCAGUGGGGAAUAUUGGACAAUGGGCGCAAGCCUGAUCCAGCUAUGCCGCGUGAGUGAGGAAGGCCUUAGGGUUGUAAAACUCUUUCAGUAGGGAAGAUAAUGACGGUACCUACAGAAGAAGUCCCGGCAAACUCCGUGCCAGCAGCCGCGGUAAUACGGAGGGGGCAAGCGUUGUUCGGAAUUAUUGGGCGUAAAGGGCAUGUAGGCGGUUUGGU
RNAcentral lists this ribosomal RNA (435 nucleotides) under Anaplasma ovis. RNAcentral describes it as "bacterial SSU rRNA". It matches the Rfam family "Bacterial small subunit ribosomal RNA", at positions 114 to 584 of the family's 1533-position model. Lineage: Bacteria; Pseudomonadati; Pseudomonadota; Alphaproteobacteria; Rickettsiales; Anaplasmataceae. The record is from RNAcentral.